UGUCUCCUCCAUCCGCCUCCUGGAUUGGACUUUGCCCGCGAGCCCUCCGGUUCGCGGGCAUUUUUUU
RNAcentral lists this non-coding RNA (67 nucleotides) under Noviherbaspirillum autotrophicum. RNAcentral describes it as "Herbaspirillum sp. TSA66 Betaproteobacteria toxic small RNA". It matches the Rfam family "Betaproteobacteria toxic small RNA". Rfam says of the family: Overexpression in amino aid rich medium attenuates growth, suggesting role in repressing amino acid intake and metabolism. Lineage: Bacteria; Pseudomonadati; Pseudomonadota; Betaproteobacteria; Burkholderiales; Oxalobacteraceae. The record is from Rfam by way of RNAcentral.